RNAcentral lists this long non-coding RNA (5194 nucleotides) under Homo sapiens (human). Its description in RNAcentral is "non-protein coding lnc-ROBO3-2:16". Lineage: Eukaryota; Metazoa; Chordata; Mammalia; Primates; Hominidae. The record is from RNAcentral.
GCUGCCCUCGGGCCUGGCUCGCCCGCGGGCGGAUGGCUCCGGGUCUCUGCUGCUGAGGAUGUGGCUGCCGGGCGGAGGUCGUCCACUCCCCUGGGCCUUUCUCCGCGAGCCCUCCCACGCCGCCCGCUCCUCUCCCGGGGCGAAGGGCGGGGACGAGGCGCGCCGAAGCCCCGAGCUGAAGAGAAGGGUGGGGGCAUGAGGGCGCUGGAGUGAGGAACAGAUUGGAGCCUUCCCACUUCCUCUCCAAUCUCAGCCCCCGGGAGGAGGGGUGAGGCCCUCGAGGGGGCCCGGAGUUAAGGAGGAAUAGACCGUUUCUCUCUCUCCUGUCUCCCCCGCCUCUGCCCGUCUUCCCUCUAAGCCGGCCUCUAGGUGCAGAGGCUGACGUCCAGGAUGGGGACCGGGGAAGCCUCUGGAGGGUAUAUCCGGGAAGGCACCAAGGCUGAAAAAGAUGCAGUCUAGCACCUCAGUUAAGAAUAUGGACUCUAAAGUCAGACUGCCAGGCUUCAAAUUCCAGUUCUGCGACCUCAGCAAAGUUACUUAACCAAGCUCUCAGUGCCUUGUUUUCUUCAUCUGUAAAAUGAGGAUGACGUCACAGCAUUGUUGAGAGAAUUAAUACAGGCUCCAGACUUGUGAAUGGAGAAGUGUUGAGGUGACCCCAGCUCCAGCCACCAGCUGACGACAACCAUACCGGAGAUCCUGAGAGCUGCCUAGCUGACCCCAGGCACCCCCCAGACUUCAUGUAAGCUGUUUGAAGCCGAGGACUUUGUCUGUUUUGUUCACUCCCAAUAGAUUCAGCACUUAGAAGAAUGCCAGGCAGGCUUUCCCCACCAACCAAGAUGGAAUAACAGGGAAAAGACAUACCCUUCUAUCUUCAAUAAUUGGAAACCCAGACAAAGUUUAUGAAACGCUGGUUUUCAAGACAUAGGACAUCAGACAAUCAAGGACAGUAAACACUGAGAUGGGAAACAAACAAGGUGAGUACUGCAAUUGCCCAACAUUACUAGCUGGAAAGAGUUUCCCGACCAUGGCAGAGGGAGGAGGAUCCUUUGAGGUUCUGUGGUGUCCCUGAGUUGAGGAGACAAAGUUGAAAUUCCAGAGUGGUCAAGGCAGCUGGAGUUUGUAGAGCAGAGUACCAGAAAGAAAAUAGAUGCACAGAGAGAACCUCAGAGAUCUGCAAAAGAUCUCAGCUCUUCAGCUGUGCACCUAUCAGUACAUGCAUGUGACAAAGCACCCCAAGGCCAGGGGAAGAAUCACCUGAAAGUAUGAAGAGAAGAAUACUUGGAGCAUAUACAAACCAGGAAUAAUUUCAGUUCUCACCAGCCAAAUUGGAAGACCCCAUAGAUAACAGGCAUUAGGUAGAGCAGGGGUCCCCAACCUCCAGGGGCACUGACCAGUACUGUUCAUGGCCUGUUAGGAACUGGGCUGCACAGCAGGAGGUGAGCGGCAGGCUAGCCAGCAAACCUUCAUCUGUAUUUAUAGCUCCCAUCACUUGCAUUACUCCCCAUCACUCCCCAUCACUUGCAUUACCACCUGAGCUCCACCUCCUCUCAGAUCAGCAGCAGCAUUAGAUUCUCAUAGGAGUGUGAACCCUACUGUGAACUGCACAUGCAAGGGAUCUAGGUUGUGCACUGUUUAUGAGAAUCUAAUGCCUGAUGAUCUGAGGUGCAGCUGAGGCAGCAUAGCUAGGAGGUAGGUAUUUUGUUGCUGGGGACUCAUAUCAAAACCCUAUCAGUGAGUGGCAAGUGACAAUUAAGCUGCAUCUGGUGGCAGACUUUAUAGAGGCAAGUGAGUCAAUGUAUUUCAAUUGCACAGCUCUAUCUGGUGGCAAGUUUUAAGUCAGAAUCUGACACUUAAUUUAGUCUGUGCAUGGCCUGCCCAUUAUUUUAUUUACCACUUCUGUCUGUGCCUCUUUGCUGCACUGAACACUUGUCUCAGUCACAGUUUUGGUAAGCCCACAAGCUAACCCUAGCUAAAAUGAGUAAAAAGCAAACGACACUGGAGAGCUUCUUUGAAAAGUCAGAGAGACCCAAUGAUGAGACAGCAGAAGACUCUUAAGACUGCCAACAAAAAGAAAGCUGCACUUAAAAGAAAAUACCAGACUGGGCGUGGUGGCUCACACCUGUAAUCCUAGCACUUUGGGAGGCUGAAGCAGGUGGAUCCCUUGAGGCCAGGAGUUUGAGACCAGCCAAGCCAACAUGGUGAAACCCAUGUUUCUAAAAAAAAAAAAAAAAAAAAUUAGCCGGGAAUGGUGGUGCGUGCCUGUAAUCUGAGCUACUCAGGAGGCUGAGGCAGGAGAAUCUCUUGAACCCAGGAGGCAGAGGUUGCAGUGAGCUGAGACUGUGCCACUGCACUCCACUCCAGCCUGGGUGCCAGACCAAGACUCUGUCUCAGAAAAAAAAAAAAGAAAAUGCCAAAAGUUCUACUUAAGUUAUGGGUUAAUUGCAACAGGUGAUUCACAUUCUCUAAGCCCACUUUGUAUAUUAUGUGCUGACCCACUAUUCAAGGAAGCCAUGAAAACUUCAAAACUGCUUCACCACCUGGAGACCAAGCACCCUGCAUUAAAAGACAAGCCUUUGGAGUUUUUCUAAAGAAAAAACAUGAACACAGAGAACAGAAGUAAUUAUUGAAGGCCACUACUUCAUUAAGUGUGUCUGUACUGAGAGCAUCGUUCCUAGUGGCUAACCACGUUAUUAGGCUAAGAAGCCCUUUAGUAUUGGUGAAGAGUUGAUCCUGCCUGCUGCUAAGGACAUUUGUCAUGAACUUUUAGGAGAGGCUGCUGUUCAAAAGGUGGCACAUGUUCCUCUUUCAGCUAACACCAUAACUAGAAGAAUGGAUGAAAUAGCAGAGAAUAUUGAGGCACAAUUGUUAGAGAGGAUUAAUGAGUCACCGUGCUACACAAUCCACAAAAGGGUUUUGUCCCAGAAAUAGACUCAUACAUAUAUGAUCAGUGAUUUUCAACAGUGGUACAAAUGCAAGUCAGCGCAGAAAAAAUAAUCUCUUCAACAAAUGGUGCAGGAACAAUUGGAUAUCCAUAAAAUGAACUCGGAUCCACGCUUUGCACCAUAUGCAAAAAUUGACUCAAAAUAGGUAUAGGUCCUAGACCUAAAUGUAACAACCUGAAACUCUAAAAUUUCUCAGGAAAAAAAUGGGAUAAAAUCUUUGUGGUCUUGGAUUAGGCAAAGAUAUUUUCUUGUGUUUGUGGGUAAAGAAACCUUUAAUGAGGGUUCAAGGUGUAAGAGGAGGACCUUGUAGAGAGCCAGCGCUUAGCCCCAGCCUCCUCAUAUGCACAUGGCUCUGUAGAGGUUCUCCAGACAGUGCUGCUGCUGCUGUUUCGAGCCUUAUCUCCUCUGUGCUCCUCACAAGUGUCGUUAACAGCGGGCAGCUCCUGGCAGCACAAGGGACAGGGAUUUGUCUUGCUUAGCCGGGGCAAAAUGCAGUUAGAAUGGAAAAGCUAAUGGCAAGGCAUCCCAACAACAGCCUCCUCCUCCUCAAGCACAUGGGGCACUUGUGUGUGCCUCUCAGCCUGAGAGCUCCUGAUGACUGUCCUGGGGAGGUUCCCAACCACACUGUCUUGGCAGCUGGUGGAGGCAGGUGGUGAUUCCAAUUUACUGCCAUCCCCGAGUCUUCAAAAUCCAUCCUAUUGAAAAGUGAUCUGGUGAGCUCCAGCAGCAUGUGGGUUAGGGUCUCCUGCUUGGGGUUCAAGAGCUUGCAGUCCUGUUCAUUGAAAUAGGCUGUCAUGGCUGCUCAGCUCUCUGACAUAUCUCUCAGACUGGCAAAGAUAUUAGGUCUGAUACCAAAAGUACAAUCCAUAGAAGAAAAAGGAUGGAUACAUUGGACUUCAUUAAAAUUAAGAAUGUUUUCUCCUUGAAAAAUAAUGUUAAGAGAAUAAGAAGAUAAGCCACAAACUUGGAAAAAAAGUAAUUGUAAAUUACAUAUCUGAUAAAGUACUUGUACCCAAAAUAUGCACAAGAAUCUCAAAACUCAAUAAUAAGAAAACAAUCCAAUUUAAGAAAUUAUUUUAACAUACAUUUUACAAAAGAGGAUAUAUAGAUAGCAAAUAAGCCCACAAAAAGAUAUUGAAUAUUAUUGACCAUUGGGAAAAUGCAAAUUAAAACAAAAUGAGAUACCAUUACACACCUAUUAGAAUGUCUAAUAUUGAGAAGACUAAUCAUACUAACUGAUGAGGAUUUGGAGCAACUGGAACUCUCAAACCCUGCUGAUAGAUAAAUGCACAACCACUUUGGAACAGUUUGGUAGUUUUUUAAAAAGUUAAACAUACAUCUGCCUUAUGCCCCAGCCAUACAAUUUUUAGACAUUUCUCAAGGAAAAUGAAAGCAUAUGUUCAUUCAGAGAUACACAUGCAUAUUCAUUGCAGCUUUAUUUGUAACAGCCAAAAACUGGAAACAGCCCAAAUGUCCAGCAACAAAAGAAUGGAUAAACAAAUUGUGGUAUAUUUACUACCUAGCAGUUGAAAGAAAUAAACCUCUGACACACACAAGCUGGAUUAAAAAAGAAGAGGAAAUGAAUUAUUGAUACAUAUAAUAAAGAUUACUCUCAAAAUAAUUAUGGUAAGUCAAAGAAGUCAGACCAUGCUCCCUAAGAGUAUAUACUUCAUGAUUCAAUUUCUGUACAAUUCUAUAAAAUGCAAAUUAAUAUAUGAUAACAAAAAGUGAUUGCCUGGAAAUGGUGAGAGGACAGAGGGGCCAGAAUCAGCCAGGAUUACAAAGAUGCACAAGGAAACUUUUGAGGGUGGUGGAUAUCUUGAGUGUGGUGAUAGUUUUACAGUUGUAUGCCUAUGUUAGAAGCUAUCAAAUUGUACACUUUAAGUAUGUACACUUUGUUGUAUAUUAAUUAUGCCUUAAUAAAGUUAUUAUAAAAAGUAGUUCCAGGCAAUACUAGACACUCAAUAAACAUUUGUAAACUAGUCGUUGACUUUCUUGGACUGUGACUUGUUAGCAGUUAGGGAUUGAUUAUUCUGUACAUGUUUAUGUAAUACCUGGCAAAAUACCAUGCUGGAGUAAGUGCUCAAUAAAUGCUAUUUUAAGAAUGUUAUCAGUCAAGCCUGGUGGCUUAUGCCUGUAAUCCCAGCACUUUGGGAGGCCGAGGUGGGUGGAUCACCUGAGGUCAGGAGUUUGAGACCAGCCUGGCCAACAUGGUGAAACCCUGUCUCUACUAAAAAUACAAAAAAUUAGCU